AGAAAAUCCAGUCUAUUCUGAGGUCAAGACGGGGAAGACCACAGCAACUGGACCUGUUGAUGUGACCUAUGCUGAGGUUGACCUUAAACAGAAGGCCAAAGCCAAGAAGAAGAAAGAAACAUCAACCCCACCUGAGACAGAUUCAGUCUUUUCUCAAUUGAAGCCAGUCACAGCCCCAGGUA
Salvelinus sp. IW2-2015 is the source of this 182-nucleotide non-coding RNA. Lineage: Eukaryota; Metazoa; Chordata; Actinopteri; Salmoniformes; Salmonidae. The record is from RefSeq and is a predicted model, not a curated record.